Molecule: ribosomal RNA, 254 nt
Filed under: uncultured bacterium
Lineage: Bacteria
Description: partial 16S ribosomal RNA
Rfam family: Bacterial small subunit ribosomal RNA
Source: RNAcentral
UACGUAGGGGGCAAGCGUUGUCCGGAGUUACUGGGCGUAAAGCGCACGCAGGCGGUCUCUUAAGUUUGGAGUGACAGUUGGUGGCUUAACUGCCAAAGUGCUUCGAAAACUGAGAGACUUGAGGGCUUCAGAGGGACACGGAAUUCCGGGUGGAGUGGUGAAAUGCGUAGAGAUCCGGAGGAACACCAAAGGCGAAGGCAGUGUCCUGGGGAGGUACCUGACGCUCAGGUGCGAAAGCCAGGGGAGCGAACGGG